Marmota flaviventris (yellow-bellied marmot) is the source of this 563-nucleotide long non-coding RNA. RefSeq lists it as uncharacterized. NCBI's taxonomy places the organism in Eukaryota, Metazoa, Chordata, Mammalia, Rodentia, Sciuridae. The record is from RefSeq and is a predicted model, not a curated record.
UUCAAGAUCGCCCACCCCCAGGCUGCUCCUUCUGGCUCCAAUCUGACCACAAGGGACUGGGAAUGUGUGACGGUGUUUUGCCUGUCUACUCUUGGCUCUCCUCCAGGAAACUCCUAGAAAGUCGAGACUUGAGGACUCUGGAUGUUCAGGAGGCGGAACGAGGCUGAAUGAGAGUCUCGAGUCUGUACCUUGUCAGGUGAUCCCAGGCAGCCCCUUUGGAGCUGAGCAGGACAAAGGACAAAGCAGGAAGGAGCCCUACAUGAGAUGUCAAGGAGCAGAUGGCGAACAGUGAUUCAGUCUUAAAACCCCAGCUUGGGCGACACCAUGUGGCAGACCUCGGUUACUGCAGUUUUUGUGAGCUCUUUCAACCAUAGGUGGGCCCCUGAGAGUUCGCCCUCCCCUUAGCCAUCCUGAUUGGUUAAAAGAAGAUUUAUGAAGACCAAUUAAACUCUGCCCUGGGAGCCUGGGGGUGGAGCCUAGCAUGUGUGAAGUCCCCUGGGUUCCAUCCCCAGGACCUAAAAACAAAUAAAAACUCUGCACAAGAAUAAUAAUCCUGAAAGCUG